This 902-nucleotide long non-coding RNA is filed under the name Pan troglodytes (chimpanzee). Its description in RNAcentral is "long non-coding RNA NONPTRT003863". The record is from RNAcentral. Lineage: Eukaryota; Metazoa; Chordata; Mammalia; Primates; Hominidae.
CAAACCAGUAAAACAAGAAUUUCUGUACAGUCCGCGCCUAUCCAUAGCAAAAUGGAGGACUUCUCCAGGGAACUGCAACUCCCAAGAAGCAAUGCGAGGGAAGGUGGCGGUCACAAUUUUUUCCCCGUCUGCACCUCUAGGUCCAAUAUUGGAAAUAGGUGCUGACGUUUAAAUAACACAGCGUCCUCAUACUAAAUCUGGGGGGGAACUGGUAACUCGAAAACCAAAUACUCGGUCUUCCGAAAGAACUAACUCAACCUACUCCUCUGCAAGAGGGUCCGAAAACCAUUGUUACGCCCAUUGGGUAGCCCCGCCCUUGGGGGGGGGCAAAGGGCGUGAAAGCGGAAGUGACGACACCCGGCGCUCCACUAAAUAGCCGUAGACGGAACCUCGGCUUUCUCUCGGCCUUAGCGCCAUUUUUUUGGGUGAGUGUUUUUGGUUCCUGCGUUGGGAUUCCGUGUACAAUCCAUAGACAUCUGACCUCGGCACUUAGCAUCAUCACAGCAAACUAACUGUAGCCUUUCUCUCUUUCCCUGUAGAAACCUCUGCGCCAUGAGAGCCAAGUGGAGGAAGAAGCGAAUGCGCAGGCUGAAGCGCAAAAGAAGAAAGAUGAGGCAGAGGUCCAAGUAAACCGCUAGCUUGUUGCACCGUGGUGGCCACAGGAGCAGAAACAUGGAAUGCCAGACGCUGGGGAUGCUGGUACAAGUUGUGGGACUGCAUGCUACUGUCUAGAGCUUGUCUCAAUGGAUCUAGAACUUCAUCGCCCUCUGAUCGCCGAUCACCUCUGAGACCCACCUUGCUCAUAAACAAAAUGCCCAUGUUGGUCCUCUGCCCUGGACCUGUGACAUUCUGGACUAUUUCUGUGUUUAUUUGUGGCCGAGUGUAACAACCAUAUAAUAAAU